This 253-nucleotide ribosomal RNA is filed under the name uncultured bacterium. Its description in RNAcentral is "partial 16S ribosomal RNA". It matches the Rfam family "Bacterial small subunit ribosomal RNA", at positions 524 to 776 of the family's 1533-position model. The record is from RNAcentral.
UACGUAGGUGGCAAGCGUUAUCCGGAUUUACUGGGUGUAAAGGGCGUGUAGGCGGGAAAGCAAGUCAGAUGUGAAAACCAUGGGCUCAACCUGUGGCCUGCAUUUGAAACUGUUUUUCUUGAGUACUGGAGAGGCAGACGGAAUUCCUAGUGUAGCGGUGAAAUGCGUAGAUAUUAGGAGGAACACCAGUGGCGAAGGCGGUCUGCUGGACAGCAACUGACGCUGAGGCGCGUAAGCGUGGGGAGCAAACAGG